Molecule: non-coding RNA, 2086 nt
Organism: Arachis ipaensis
Lineage: Eukaryota; Viridiplantae; Streptophyta; Magnoliopsida; Fabales; Fabaceae
Source: RefSeq, a predicted model, not a curated record
CUCCAUUAUCACUGACUGGUGACUGCCAAGAUGGAACACUCUAGCUUAGAGAUUUUGAAAUGCUUUGGAGAUGGAGAGGGGAGUGGACAGCACAUAUAAACAAGUUCAGAGAAGGAAGUAAAUAUUAGCAGAUAACUUUGAUGCUCCAAUGGGAUAAAUCAUGAAACUAAUUGCAGGUAUCCUCCAUUUACUUUGAUUACUCAAUUUUAUUAUUAUGAAAGUUGAGUUAAAAGUCCAAAAAAGAAAAAGGAAAGAAAGAAAGUUAAUCUAUUUUUGAAUUGAUUGAAAAACAUGGAAUAUAAUUGAAUAAAUUACGCUCAUGAUCUGAUGUUAUGUGAUAUUACACACUACAUACUCAGUGUCAUGUUUAUAAAGGAAGUGCAACAUUUCUCAAGAGUAACCCCACAAAAAAUGUUCUUUAAAGAUUUAGUUGCUGAAAGAAAUACCCUCCAGAGAUUUAAAAGACAAAAAUAUCCUCAAAAAGUUUUAAAGCCGUGACAAAAGUGUCCUGACAUAAAGUAAGUAUGUAUCUGUUUUUACUUUGCGUCGAGACACUUUGUCACGUUUUUAAAAUUUUUUAGGAUAUCUUUGUUGUUUUCAUUUUUGAGGGGUAUUUUUGUUAACUAAAUUUUUGGAGGAUAUUUUUAAUAAUAUACUCUUUCAUAAAGUAUAAGGGUGUCAACUACCUUAUAACCUAAAUAUCAGGGAGGUUAGUGUACUAUUUAUAAUUGGGAGUAUCAUAUGUAAUUUUGCCUAACCACAUGAAAUGAUAGUAUAAUUUAUUUUAAAUUUUGCUUGGGCUUAAAAUAAGAUGAAAUGGAUUGGUAUUUGAUGAAAUUCAUUCCAUUCCAUUUUAUUCAAUAAUCUUAUCUUUUAGACCUCUAAUUUGACUGAAAUGGGAGGCAAUUGGUUGAAUCAACUUAAAAUGGUUAUACCAUUCCAUCUUUUGUUGUAUUUUCAGACAAUGAGAUGAAAACUUCUCUUCAAAUCAGUUUUUUAUUUUUUAUAUGAAAAAAAAUAAAAUGCUUGGUGUUGCAUACUCUUUCUUCCUCAAUUAGAUUAGGGUGCCCUCUUAAACAUGAUUUCAGAGACUUGGCAUCUUAAUCUCCCAACCCUACAUUUAUGGGGAUUGAUGGAGACAUGUCCCAGAAACGAUUUGUCAAUGGCCAUAAAUGAUCUUCUCAGAAAUUGCUUGCUUGAUCAACAUAAGAUCUAUAUGCAUUGCACCCUGCAUUUAUAUAUAGAUAUGUCAAAGUUCAUAGUAUCAAGGUUAUUAAAUUCAAGAGUUCAUCUGAACUCAUAGUUUAAGUAUAUUUGAAUAGUAAAACACACCCAUAAGCUCUAUUUAGAGAUCUAAACUUGUAAAUUAGCAACGAUGGUAUAAUGUGGAAGCUUGGUGUAAUCAAAACCGAUAAUUUUUUUUUUUUUUUUACAUAGUAUUCCCCAACUCGACAGGUUAAUAACUAAUCAACUGCAGAUCAGAACUCUAUUUAAGGGUCUGCAACUGGACAAGGAGUUGCUACAUACACAGUGCAGGAUUUGAAUUCCCUGACAUAUCAAUUUGAUUUGCCAAUUUGCAUCCUACAUGUUCUUUUUUUUCUGUUUAUAUCUAUUUUUCUCACCUUGGAACUUCUGGUUUAGAAAGAAGGCCUUCCAAAGAUUAAUAUGUAUUAUUUUCUGUUUAGGUCACACAACUAGUAAUCUUAUUCACUCAAAUCUAGUUUUUCCCCUUAAUAUCUUAAUCUUAUAAUUAAAAUUUUUUGAUACCAUUACUCAAGACAAUUUUAGCAUGCAAAUUCAAAUACUUAAUUAGCUAUCAGUUCUUUCUAAUAAGCACAUGACAUCAAUAUUAAGAUAAAGCAAUUCAAAGUGGGAAAAAGCUACAAGAGAAAAGGGACCCAAAUAUCUGAAGUUACAAUUGUGAGGGAGUUAUUACUGUGACAGAGGGUAGUUGAGGCUGAACAAUAAUGUUGCUAUGGUAGUGAAUGUGGAUUGCUUUAUUUUUCUUUUCCCUUAAAGGAUUAUGAAGUGUCAUCACAUUGGAUAUGUGGAAUAAAUCAAAUGGUUACUUUGGUGUGUCGGUUUC